CCUACGGGUGGCAGCAGUGGGGAAUAUUGCACAAUGGGGGAAACCCUGAUGCAGCGACGCCGCGUGAGUGAAGCAGUAUUUCGGAAUGUAAAGCUCUAUCAGCAGGAACGAGACAAGACGGUACCUGACUACGAAGCAUCGGCUAACUACGCGCCCGCAGCCGCGGUUAUCCGUAGUGGGCAAGCGUCAUCCGGACUCACUGUGUGUAAAGGGAGCGUAGACGGCUGUGCAAGCCUGAAGUGAAAGGCUGGGGCACAACACCUGGACUGUCUUUGGAACUGUACGGCUUGAGUGCAGGAGAGGUAAGUGGAAUUCCUAGUGUAGCGGUGAAAUGCGUAGAUAGUAGGAGGAACACCAGUGGCGAAGGCGGCUUACUGGACUGUAACUGACGUUGAGGCUCGAAAGCGUGGGUAGCAAACAGGAUUAGAUAUCCGGGUAGUC
This 441-nucleotide ribosomal RNA is filed under the name uncultured bacterium. RNAcentral's name for it is "partial 16S ribosomal RNA". It matches the Rfam family "Bacterial small subunit ribosomal RNA", at positions 338 to 795 of the family's 1533-position model. The record is from RNAcentral.